CGCUGCAUUCAAAAGCGGGAAAACUACCUUUACGGCUUUGUNNNAGAGUUUGGAUCAUGGCUCAGGAUGAACGCUAGCGGGAGGCCUAACACAUGCAAGCCGAGCGGUAGAGAUCUUUCGGGAUCUUGAGAGCGGCGUACGGGUGCGGAACACGUGUGCAACCUGCCUUUAUCUGGGGGAUAGCCUUUCGAAAGGAAGAUUAAUACCCCAUAAUAUACUGGAUGGCAUCAUUCGGUAUUGAAAACUCCGGUGGAUAGAGAUGGGCACGCGCAAGAUUAGAUAGUUGGUGAGGUAACGGCUCACCAAGUCUGCGAUCUUUAGGGGGCCUGAGAGGGUGAUCCCCCACACUGGUACUGAGACACGGACCAGACUCCUACGGGAGGCAGCAGUGAGGAAUAUUGGACAAUGGGUGAGAGCCUGAUCCAGCCAUCCCGCGUGAAGGACGACGGCCCUAUGGGUUGUAAACUUCUUUUGUAUAGGGAUAAACCUACCCUCGUGAGGGUAGCUGAAGGUACUAUACGAAUAAGCACCGGCUAACUCCGUGCCAGCAGCCGCGGUAAUACGGAGGGUGCAAGCGUUAUCCGGAUUUAUUGGGUUUAAAGGGUCCGUAGGCGGAUCUGUAAGUCAGUGGUGAAAUCUCACAGCUUAACUGUGAAACUGCCAUUGAUACUGCAGGUCUUGAGUGUUGUUGAAGUAGCUGGAAUAAGUAGUGUAGCGGUGAAAUGCAUAGAUAUUACUUAGAACACCAAUUGCGAAGGCAGGUUACUAAGCAACAACUGACGCUGAUGGACGAAAGCGUGGGGAGCGAACAGGAUUAGAUACCCUGGUAGUCCACGCCGUAAACGAUGCUAACUCGUUUUUGGAGCGCAAGCUUCAGAGACUAAGCGAAAGUGAUAAGUUAGCCACCUGGGGAGUACGAACGCAAGUUUGAAACUCAAAGGAAUUGACGGGGGCCCGCACAAGCGGUGGAUUAUGUGGUUUAAUUCGAUGAUACGCGAGGAACCUUACCAAGGCUUAAAUGGGAAAUGACAGGUUUAGAAAUAGACUUUUCUUCGGACAUUUUUCAAGGUGCUGCAUGGUUGUCGUCAGCUCGUGCCGUGAGGUGUUAGGUUAAGUCCUGCAACGAGCGCAACCCCUGUCACUAGUUGCCAUCAUUAAGUUGGGGACUCUAGUGAGACUGCCUACGCAAGUAGAGAGGAAGGUGGGGAUGACGUCAAAUCAUCACGGCCCUUACGCCUUGGGCCACACACGUAAUACAAUGGCCGGUACAGAGGGCAGCUACACUGCGAAGUGAUGCAAAUCUCGAAAGCCGGUCUCAGUUCGGAUUGGAGUCUGCAACUCGACUCUAUGAAGCUGGAAUCGCUAGUAAUCGCGCAUC
This 1378-nucleotide ribosomal RNA is filed under the name Chryseobacterium sp. YU-SS-B-43. RNAcentral describes it as "bacterial SSU rRNA". It matches the Rfam family "Bacterial small subunit ribosomal RNA", at positions 1 to 1350 of the family's 1533-position model. Lineage: Bacteria; Pseudomonadati; Bacteroidota; Flavobacteriia; Flavobacteriales; Weeksellaceae. The record is from RNAcentral.